This 335-nucleotide RNase P RNA is filed under the name Pseudomonadota bacterium. RNAcentral describes it as "RNase P RNA component class A". It matches the Rfam family "Bacterial RNase P class A". Rfam says of the family: Ribonuclease P (RNase P) is a ubiquitous endoribonuclease, found in archaea, bacteria and eukarya as well as chloroplasts and mitochondria. Its best characterised activity is the generation of mature 5'-ends of tRNAs by cleaving the 5'-leader elements of precursor-tRNAs. Cellular RNase Ps are ribonucleoproteins. Lineage: Bacteria; Pseudomonadati; Pseudomonadota. The record is from RNAcentral.
GGAGUUGGCCAGACAAUCGCUGAAUUUCAGAGGAAAGUCCGGGCUCCUUCGGGAACGAUGCCAGGUAACACCUGGAAGGCGCGAGCCUAUGGAAAGUGCAUCAGAAAAUAUACCGCUCUGAUUAUUUAGAGUAAGGGUGAAAAGGUGUGGUAAGAGCACACCGCCUUAUUGGCAACAAUAAGGGCAUUGCAAACCCCAUCGGGAGCAAGACCAAAUAGAAGAGUAAUGAUAACCCGUAAUCACUCUUGGGUAGGUCGCUUGAGGUGUUUGGUGACAAACAUCCCAGAUGAAUGAUUGUACAAAGACAGAACCCGGCUUAUAGGUCAACUCCAAAU